Pelobates cultripes (western spadefoot toad) is the source of this 628-nucleotide non-coding RNA. NCBI's taxonomy places the organism in Eukaryota, Metazoa, Chordata, Amphibia, Anura, Pelobatidae. The record is from the annotation of a GenBank genome assembly.
CCUCUCCUCCCUACCCGCUGACAUACAGGUGUUGCAAUGUGUCCUAACGUCCGCGUUUACCCCAGGCCAGAAGAUGGUAUGGGUAAUACGGUGCAGGGUGCAAGUUACAGCCAAGUGGCCAGCUAAGGGAAUAUCAUGCCCUUUUCUUGGUAUUUCCUGUCUGUACUUAUAUGGGACCACCAAUUGUCGCCUAUGUUGUCCCUUCUUCUCUGUUAGAUGGUACUGUUUCCCCUUCUCCCAUAUAAAGGUCUCGUUAUCUAGUCCCCCUCCCCCAGACUCAGCCUUUUCCCUGUACUUUCGUAAGGUCUGGUCAGAUUUGGACUCGUUCUCAAAGGUGGCUGGGGUAUCCCAGGGUAUGGGAUCUAAUGGGGCAGUCAGGGUCGGGGUGAGUCUUACCUGUAGCUCCCGCACUGGUGAAUGGUCUGGCUGGUUCCUGGCUUGUGCUCGGGUAGUCACCGGAUGGGCAUCGGGGGUAUAGGAUGGGGCAUAGGCAGAUGUCACAGGUCCCAAAUCGUUGCCCAAUAAUACCUCUGCUGGCAAAUUAUCCAUGAUUCCCACGUUCACAGUCCCUUUUCCCGCCCCCAAUCCAGAUGGACCUUGGCGGUCGGGAUUUUGUAUACACCCCCCC